AGUGAGCGCUGGCGGUAGGCCUAACACAUGCAAGUCGAACGGCAGCACAGUAAGAGCUUGCUCUUACGGGUGGCGAGUGGCGGACGGGUGAGGAAUACAUCGGAAUCUACUUUUUCGUGGGGGAUAACGUAGGGAAACUUACGCUAAUACCGCAUACGACCUACGGGUGAAAGCAGGGGAUCUUCGGACCUUGCGCGAUUGAAUGAGCCGAUGUCGGAUUAGCUAGUUGGCGGGGUAAAGGCCCACCAAGGCGACGAUCCGUAGCUGGUCUGAGAGGAUGAUCAGCCACACUGGAACUGAGACACGGUCCAGACUCCUACGGGAGGCAGCAGUGGGGAAUAUUGGACAAUGGGCGCAAGCCUGAUCCAGCCAUGCCGCGUGGGUGAAGAAGGCCUUCGGGUUGUAAAGCCCUUUUGUUGGGAAAGAAAAACAGCAGGUUAAUACCCCGCUGUUCUGACGGUACCCAAAGAAUAAGCACCGGCUAACUUCGUG
Molecule: ribosomal RNA, 492 nt
Filed under: uncultured bacterium
Lineage: Bacteria
Description: partial 16S ribosomal RNA
Rfam family: Bacterial small subunit ribosomal RNA
Source: RNAcentral